AGGUGAUAUGAACCGUUAUAACCGGCGAUUUCCGAAUGGGGAAACCCAGUGUGUUUCGACACACUAUCAUUAACUGAAUCCAUAGGUUAAUGAGGCGAACCGGGGGAACUGAAACAUCUAAGUACCCCGAGGAAAAGAAAUCAACCGAGAUUCCCCCAGUAGCGGCGAGCGAACGGGGAGCAGCCCAGAGCCUGAAUCAGUGUGUGUGUUAGUGGAAGCGUCUGGAAAGGCGCGCGAUACAGGGUGACAGCCCCGUACACAAAAAUGCACAUACUGUGAGCUCGAUGAGUAGGGCGGGACACGUGGUAUCCUGUCUGAAUAUGGGGGGACCAUCCUCCAAGGCUAAAUACUCCUGACUGACCGAUAGUGAACCAGUACCGUGAGGGAAAGGCGAAAAGAACCCCGGCGAGGGGAGUGAAAAAGAACCUGAAACCGUGUACGUACAAGCAGUGGGAGCCUCUUAAUGGGGUGACUGCGUACCUUUUGUAUAAUGGGUCAGCGACUUAUAUUCUGUAGCAAGGUUAACCGAAUAGGGGAGCCGAAGGGAAACCGAGUCUUAACUGGGCGUUAAGUUGCAGGGUAUAGACCCGAAACCCGGUGAUCUAGCCAUGGGCAGGUUGAAGGUUGGGUAACACUAACUGGAGGACCGAACCGACUAAUGUUGAAAAAUUAGCGGAUGACUUGUGGCUGGGGGUGAAAGGCCAAUCAAACCGGGAGAUAGCUGGUUCUCCCCGAAAGCUAUUUAGGUAGCGCCUCGUGAAUUCAUCUCCGGGGGUAGAGCACUGUUUCGGCAAGGGGGUCAUCCCGACUUACCAACCCGAUGCAAACUGCGAAUACCGGAGAAUGUUAUCACGGGAGACACACGGCGGGUGCUAACGUCCGUCGUGAAGAGGGAAACAACCCAGACCGCCAGCUAAGGUCCCAAAGUCAUGGUUAAGUGGGAAACGAUGUGGGAAGGCCCAGACAGCCAGGAUGUUGGCUUAGAAGCAGCCAUCAUUUAAAGAAAGCGUAAUAGCUCACUGGUCGAGUCGGCCUGCGCGGAAGAUGUAACGGGGCUAAACCAUGCACCGAAGCUGCGGCAGCGACACUAUGUGUUGUUGGGUAGGGGAGCGUUCUGUAAGCCUGUGAAGGUGUACUGUGAGGUAUGCUGGAGGUAUCAGAAGUGCGAAUGCUGACAUAAGUAACGAUAAAGCGGGUGAAAAGCCCGCUCGCCGGAAGACCAAGGGUUCCUGUCCAACGUUAAUCGGGGCAGGGUGAGUCGACCCCUAAGGCGAGGCCGAAAGGCGUAGUCGAUGGGAAACAGGUUAAUAUUCCUGUACUUGGUGUUACUGCGAAGGGGGGACGGAGAAGGCUAUGUUGGCCGGGCGACGGUUGUCCCGGUUUAAGCGUGUAGGCUGGUUUUCCAGGCAAAUCCGGAAAACUAAGGCUGAGGCGUGAUGACGAGGCACUACGGUGCUGAAGCAACAAAUGCCCUGCUUCCAGGAAAAGCCUCUAAGCAUCAGGUAACAUCAAAUCGUACCCCAAACCGACACAGGUGGUCAGGUAGAGAAUACCAAGGCGCUUGAGAGAACUCGGGUGAAGGAACUAGGCAAAAUGGUGCCGUAACUUCGGGAGAAGGCACGCUGAUAUGUAGGUGAAGCGACUUGCUCGUGGAGCUGAAAUCAGUCGAAGAUACCAGCUGGCUGCAACUGUUUAUUAAAAACACAGCACUGUGCAAACACGAAAGUGGACGUAUACGGUGUGACGCCUGCCCGGUGCCGGAAGGUUAAUUGAUGGGGUUAGCGGUAACGCGAAGCUCUUGAUCGAAGCCCCGGUAAACGGCGGCCGUAACUAUAACGGUCCUAAGGUAGCGAAAUUCCUUGUCGGGUAAGUUCCGACCUGCACGAAUGGCGUAAUGAUGGCCAGGCUGUCUCCACCCGAGACUCAGUGAAAUUGAACUCGCUGUGAAGAUGCAGUGUACCCGCGGCAAGACGGAAAGACCCCGUGAACCUUUACUAUAGCUUGACACUGAACAUUGAGCCUUGAUGUGUAGGAUAGGUGGGAGGCUUUGAAGUGUGGACGCCAGUCUGCAUGGAGCCGGCCUUGAAAUACCACCCUUUAAUGUUUGAUGUUCUAACGUUGGCCCCUGAUCGGGGUUGCGGACAGUGUCUGGUGGGUAGUUUGACUGGGGCGGUCUCCUCCUAAAGAGUAACGGAGGAGCACGAAGGUUGGCUAAUCCUGGUCGGACAUCAGGAGGUUAGUGCAAUGGCAUAAGCCAGCUUGACUGCGAGCGUGACGGCGCGAGCAGGUGCGAAAGCAGGUCAUAGUGAUCCGGUGGUUCUGAAUGGAAGGGCCAUCGCUCAACGGAUAAAAGGUACUCCGGGGAUAACAGGCUGAUACCGCCCAAGAGUUCAUAUCGACGGCGGUGUUUGGCACCUCGAUGUCGGCUCAUCACAUCCUGGGGCUGAAGUAGGUCCCAAGGGUAUGGCUGUUCGCCAUUUAAAGUGGUACGCGAGCUGGGUUUAGAACGUCGUGAGACAGUUCGGUCCCUAUCUGCCGUGGGCGCUGGAGAACUGAGGGGGGCUGCUCCUAGUACGAGAGGACCGGAGUGGACGCAUCACUGGUGUUCGGGUUGUCAUGCCAAUGGCACUGCCCGGUAGCUAAAUGCGGAAGAGAUAAGUGCUGAAAGCAUCUAAGCACGAAACUUGCCCCGAGAUGAGUUCUCCCUGACUCCUUGAGAGUCCUGAAGGAACGUUGAAGACGACGACGUUGAUAGGCCGGGUGUGUAAGCGCAGCGAUGCGUUGAGCUAACCGGUACUAAUGAACCGUGAGGCUUAACCUU
This 2821-nucleotide ribosomal RNA is filed under the name Escherichia coli. RNAcentral describes it as "partial 23S ribosomal RNA". It matches the Rfam family "Bacterial large subunit ribosomal RNA". Lineage: Bacteria; Pseudomonadati; Pseudomonadota; Gammaproteobacteria; Enterobacterales; Enterobacteriaceae. The record is from RNAcentral.